Homarus americanus (American lobster) is the source of this 2853-nucleotide RNA transcript. It is a transcript of the gene named retinol dehydrogenase 12-like, with no coding region annotated. NCBI's taxonomy places the organism in Eukaryota, Metazoa, Arthropoda, Malacostraca, Decapoda, Nephropidae. The record is from RefSeq and is a predicted model, not a curated record. The transcript has 8 exons.
CUUAAUAUGCGCAGAAGUCGGGAACGAUUUAUGCGUGUAAAGUGUCCACUAGAGCGGCUCAACUUGGCUUCACUUUUAGUCUUGGUAGUUGGUAACUUGGUAAUCAGUAACCUACUGGUCGUGUUACAGUGAACAAGUGGAAGCUCCGGUGACACAAAAUGGGGAGAGUAGACGCAUUCCUUAGUUGUUUCAGUCCACACUGGGUGUCUACUGCCUAUUUUACCCAAGGAAUGGCGUUCUUUUUUAAACAAGAACUCCACAUUCUUUCACUAUUGUGGUUUACAAUGUAUUUUGUUGAUAUACUCACGGAUCACAGCCUCUCCUGUAUGCUGACCCACACGGCCAUCAUCCUGCUGGUCCGCCGCGCCCUGGCUGGUGGGAUAUGUACUUCUACUCGACGGUUGGAUGGACAUGUUGUUGUCAUCACUGGCUGUAAUAUUGGCAUUGGGCUUGAAACUGCACGUGACCUGAGCAACAGAGGAGCUAAGAUAAUUAUGGCGUGUAGAAACACGAAGGAAGCAGAGAAGAAGGCCACAGAGAUAAGAGGCCAGACAGGAGGACAGCUGGAGGUUAUGAAGCUGGAUCUUGCAUCGUUAACAUCAGUCCGUGAGUUUGCUGCUGAUCUCAAAACCAAGGAAACUCGGAUCCAUAUGCUAAUCAAUAAUGCAGGCGUUAUGAUGUGUCCACAAAUGAAAACUGAAGAUGGGUUUGAUAUGCAGAUGGGCACCAAUCACUUUGGCCAUUUUCUGCUGACUUGCCUCCUGCUGCCCUUGCUCACACAUUCUGAACCUGCACGCAUCAUCAACAUCUCUUCUUUGGCACAUGCAAUGGGUAUCAUUCCAUUUGAUGACUGGGACUACAAGAAAGGAUAUGACCGUGUUCAAGCAUAUGCUAACAGCAAGCUAGCCAAUGUUCUUUUCACUCGCCAACUUGCACAAAAAGUUAAAGAGACGAACAUCCAGGUGUUUGCUGUCCACCCAGGGGCAGUACAAUCAAAUUUAGGUCGUCACAUUAUAGGGAAUUUGUCAGCCACUGAUUUGUAUGCCAUAAUAGGAAAAAAUACUGUUGAAGGUAUACAAACCACACUUCACUGUGCACUGGAAGCUAACCAAGAGGAACCUUACUACUACAGACUCUACAAGGGCCUGAAGCUGUUGGAUCAUGCUAUGAAAGUUGUUUAAAAUGUAAUCAAGAAAUUAACAAGUGGACAUUAACCCCCAAUCACCGUCCUACGGUAGGAACACCCCGUAGCUAUAUCAGUGACUGUGGUCUCGGCUAUGCUAGCGCAGCAGCUCGAGAUGAUGAGGCGGCAGAGUCGCUGUGGCUUUAUUCACAGAAAGUGGUCGGUCUCAAGAAUGAUCACUAAAACUGCUUCUUCUUGGGACUCUUGAAUGUGCUGCAACAAUGAACAUGUUCUAUCCGACUGAUUUUUUUCAUUAAAAGUCUGUGUGUUGAGGGAGACUGGGAGAAGAAAGUGUUAACUUAAAAGGAGAAAGUAGGUUAUUUCAGAUAUCUUAGGAGUGAAGGUGUUAGUGAUUGAAACAACGAAUGAUCUGUUGAAUCAGAGAGUAGCAGAGAGUUAGAAAGUAUUAAAUAUUUAAAAACUGUAUGGAGAGUGAGAACAACGUCUAAGGAGGCAAAGAGGAAUAAAUGGGGCAUUGUUAAGCAAUCAUUAUAAUAUAUAUAGAUCUAUAGAUUCUUCAUAUGUAUGUUGUGCUAUAGAGCAAUAAGUGUGGUGAAUAUGAUAUAGAGAUUAAGAAGCACAGAUAUUAGGAGGAUAUCUGGAACUCAACGACGUGUCGGAAAGAGAAAUUGUCAGGGUUAAGAGUAGUGAUAAGGCCUUAUUGAGAAAAGAGAAUUGUUGGUAAAACGAGUUUGUGAUUCAGGCGGUUGGAUGGAGUGAAGGACGCACUGGAAACGAAGGAUGGGGUGAAGGACGCACUGGAAAUGAAGGAUCGGGGGUUAAUGGCGCACUGGAAGCAAAGGAUGGGGUGAAGGACGCAUUGGAAGCGAAGGAUGGGGGAAAGGAUUCUCUGAGAGCGAAAGUCUAUGAAUCAGUGAAGCAUACGAAUGAAAGGAGAGCAGAUACUGGGCGAUUUAGUGGGUAGGGAACGUAUUGCAACAAACAGGGAGAUAUUAUGAAUUUUCUAUUCUUGGAUGUAACCACCCUUUGAUCCUUGUUCCGGCAUAUGGUUGCAAUAUACCUGGAUGUCGAAGAUCAAGUUAGUAUGCAUUGUGGUAUGUUCAAAUAGUGAAAUAAUUUACCACUUUUCUAUUGAUUCUUUCCUCUUGAAACGUUCAAAACUAACGCAGUUUUAAUAUAGUAUAAUAACAGUUGUUUGGGAUGCAUUAAACUUGCCUUGGGAUACAUUAAUUGAAUCAUGUGUUUCAUAUUGUUUGUUUUUAUUUGGUCUUCCCGUGAGUAGUCUCUGGCAUAGAUAUCUACAAUUGUUUGAAAUUUGUUGUAUAAGAAAUAAAAACCAUCACUCUAUACUUGUCUCAACAACCAAAACAUAUUAUGUUAGAUGAACAUAGGAGUCACCCGCUUCAUGCAUUAUUGCUGGGGUAAUGGGAUAUCCAUUGUUGAUAUUUAUAUCUGACUGAACUAGUAAGAACAAUUCUUGAAAUGUUUCAUAAACACUGUUAUAGGUACAGAAUUAAUAUGUGGAAUUGGAAUAAUUGAAACAAUGAAAAUAUGGACUAGCCAUCUUUCUUGUAAUAAAAGAAUUGUUUGAGUGUAGGGGAUUUACAUUAUUUUUCAUUUUAUCUCACCAAAAUGUGAUUUUCUUUGUUAUUCAUUGGAUUAUUUCCAUGUCAAUGUAAUAUUUCACUUAUUAAAACUUUACACAGUCA